This 498-nucleotide ribosomal RNA is filed under the name uncultured bacterium. Its description in RNAcentral is "partial 16S ribosomal RNA". It matches the Rfam family "Bacterial small subunit ribosomal RNA", at positions 28 to 508 of the family's 1533-position model. The record is from RNAcentral.
GAUGAACGCUGGCGGCGUGCCUAAUACAUGCAAGUCGAGCGAACAGACGAGGAGCUUGCUCCUCUGACGUUAGCGGCGGACGGGUGAGUAACACGUGGAUAACCUACCUAUAAGACUUAGAUAACGUCGGGAAACCGGAGCUAAUACCGCAUCUUAUAGCCGACCGCAGGGGUCUGGAGAGAAAGACGGUGUUGCUGUCUCUGAUAGCUGGAUCCGCGCCGCAUUAGCUAGUUGGUAAGGUAACGGCUUACCAAGGCAACGAUGCGUAGCCGACCUGAGAGGGUGGUAGGCCACACUGGAGCUGAGACACGGUCCAGACUACUACGGGAGGCAGCAGUAGGGAAUCGUCGGCAACGGGCGAAAGCCUGGCGGAGCGACGGCGCGUGUGUGAUGAAGGUCUUCGGAUCGUAAAAACCGGUUAUUAGGGGAGAACAACUGUGUAAGUAGAUAUGCACGUAUUGAAGGUUACUAAUAAGAAAGCCACGGCUAAACUAGUGC